Caenorhabditis elegans is the source of this 146-nucleotide non-coding RNA. The record is from Ensembl. NCBI's taxonomy places the organism in Eukaryota, Metazoa, Nematoda, Chromadorea, Rhabditida, Rhabditidae.
UGACCAAAUCCGAUAAUAAACCGAAAUCAUCGGUGCGAUGCCCCCGUUGCUAAGCCCCGUAUAUGAUGCUUCAAAAUCGCCUUUUCGUGCUUCUUCAGAACUCGUUGUCCUUUCUUGAUGAUUCCUCCGCCGUCUGCCAUCUCCGU